Molecule: ribosomal RNA, 253 nt
Filed under: uncultured bacterium
Lineage: Bacteria
Description: partial 16S ribosomal RNA
Rfam family: Bacterial small subunit ribosomal RNA
Source: RNAcentral
UACGUAGGUGGCAAGCGUUGUCCGGAUUUAUUGGGCGUAAAGCGAGCGCAGGUGGUUCUUUAAGUCUGUUGUGAAAGCCCUCAGCUCAACUGAGGAAGUGCAGCGGAAACUAAAGGACUUGAGUACAGAAGAGGAUAGUGGAACUCCAUGUGUAGCGGUGAAAUGCGUAGAUAUAUGGAAGAACACCAGUGGCGAAGGCGGCUAUCUGGUCUGUUACUGACACUGAGGCUCGAAAGCAUGGGUAGCGAACAGG